AAGUGAGCAAAAGAACAGAGUGACACAAUGACAUAGAUCGAGUGGCAUUCGAUAAAGUUAAAGUGAAAUGACACUAGAGAUAGUGUGAGGAAAAGAACCAAUGUAAUGUAAAGAAUGAUGAAAGUGACAAGUUAAAGUAAUGUGGGGAGUAAAGAACAUGAAAUGCUAGAGGUAGCCGAAAGUAAAGAACGUAAAGAAAAUAAUUGAUAGAGUUAGCAAAAGUAAUGAAUGGUAAAGAACAACGAUUGCUAGAGUUAGCAAAGAUAAAGAAAUGUAAAGAAUGUGAUUGCAUGAGUUUGCAACAUAAAGUGAUGAAAGAACACUAGAGCUAGUGUAAAGUCAAGAUUGAACUAU
Molecule: long non-coding RNA, 354 nt
Filed under: Ananas comosus (pineapple)
Lineage: Eukaryota; Viridiplantae; Streptophyta; Magnoliopsida; Poales; Bromeliaceae
Description: long non-coding RNA (ACOM_LNC039254)
Source: RNAcentral